This 1319-nucleotide long non-coding RNA is filed under the name Sorghum bicolor (sorghum). RNAcentral describes it as "long non-coding RNA (SBIC_LNC000178)". Lineage: Eukaryota; Viridiplantae; Streptophyta; Magnoliopsida; Poales; Poaceae. The record is from RNAcentral.
AAGGCCCUGUCUUGGUUAAACAUUAAUGAAGGCGGUCGUCUUAAUAGGACUAGCUCUGUUAAUGCAUAUUAACAGCGACGGUUGUCUUAGGCUAACCGCCUCCAUUAGUACAUUAACUAAGACAGUCUUAGGUUGACCAAGAUUUUAGACAAACAAUGUUGACAUAUGUAAGUUUGUUACAGAGUGUGCGCACGAAGGGCGACCGUUCUCAAUCCAGAAAAUGAGCUAGCUAAGAAUUCGAAGUUCGCGAAAAUAGAGCGACCAUGAGGGGGGGUGGGAUAAAACUCACUUAUUACAUGUUGCCGGACCUUUUUUCCUUGAAGAAAUGAUAGCAUGAUAUUAGCGUCGUAGAUCUUAGUUUUUCAAGUGUAAACAUUUGACAUAUGCUUGUGUAAUCUAACUUCGAAUAAUGUUGCAUGGUUGACGUACAAUGGACGAUAUCAAUGAAUGUAUUAUAUGCUUGUGUUGAGUAAUAUGUGUUUAUAUAUGUCUUUCUGCUUUUAUAUAUGUGUUUGAUUUGCGAAAAUAUAAUUCAAAUAAAACUACAGAAGCUUUUUUAAAAAUGCUAAAAUUUCAAUGGAGGUAGGCAAAUAACAACAGUCUGCCUCUGUUAAAAUCUUAGUGAAGGCGAACGUUAUAUCCUUGGACGCCUCGGUUAAAGUCUUAGUGGAGGUGGACAGCUAAUGGUGCCUUCCUCAGUCAUGACGAUUAAUGGAGACGGUUGUCUUAUGACGUCUAUCUUCAUUAAAGUCUUAAUGGAGAUAGGCAGAGCAACCGUCUCUAUUAAGUUAUGAUUAAUCGUGACCUAUGGUUUGAGGUGGUUGCAAUGCCUGCUUUCAUUAAACCAAAACGCCUGUUUCUAUUAAAAUUUGUGUAAUAGUGAAGACAAGUGCUAGUACCGUUCAUGUAUGCUUCUCUCUUCCAAACUAGAAGCCGGUGAAGUCUUUUCUUUUGGUUUUGGCUUACCGUGGACCGUGACACUGUAGCAAUAAACUUAAACUAUUUAAAGUCCUGCAAAGAGAGUCUAAAAUUUCUCACGUACUUCUCUAAAGACAUUGUCAUGUAUUAUUGGUUGCCUCAAAAAGUUGCUACACUUUGAUGAAAUCUUUAACCUUCAUGAGCUAUCUUCCUCUUUUGGCAGACUCCUUUGGCAAUAUGCAUAGCAUAGAUAGGCUUCAGUUUUGAACUUAUCCGAUCGCUAUGGACUCCACGCACUACCAAAAUGUUAGAUGUGAACUUCAUGAUCGUACACAUAUCUAUUGGAUUGCCACCACCUUGAAAAGCUCCCAAGAUUGCAUUGAUGAACUUUCCGAACCUGU